RNAcentral lists this ribosomal RNA (253 nucleotides) under uncultured bacterium. RNAcentral describes it as "partial 16S ribosomal RNA". It matches the Rfam family "Bacterial small subunit ribosomal RNA", at positions 524 to 776 of the family's 1533-position model. The record is from RNAcentral.
UACGUAGGUGGCAAGCGUUGUCCGGAUUUACUGGGCGUAAAGAGCGCGCAGGCGGUCGUUCAAGUCGCGUGUGAAAGCCCCCGGCUCAACUGGGGAGGGUCACGCGAUACUGAUCGACUCGAAGGCAGGAGAGGGUAGUGGAAUUCCUGGUGUAGCGGUGAAAUGCGCAGAUAUCAGGAGGAACACCUGUGGCGAAGGCGGGUCUCUGGGCCGAUACUGACGCUGAGGAGCGAAAGCGUGGGGAGCGAACAGG